UGCAGAAUCCCGUGAACCAUCGAGUCUUUGAACGCAAGUUGCGCCCGAAGUCGCUAGGCCGAGGGCACGCCUGCCUGGGCGUCA
Molecule: ribosomal RNA, 84 nt
Filed under: Crataegus saligna
Lineage: Eukaryota; Viridiplantae; Streptophyta; Magnoliopsida; Rosales; Rosaceae
Also listed under: 2 other names
Description: partial 5.8S ribosomal RNA
Rfam family: 5.8S ribosomal RNA
About the family: 5.8S ribosomal RNA (5.8S rRNA) is a component of the large subunit of the eukaryotic ribosome.
Source: RNAcentral